GUGUCAGCCGCCGCGGUAAUACGUAGGGUGCGAGCGUUAAUCGGAAUUACUGGGCGUAAAGCGUGCGCAGGCGGUUUUUUAAGACAGGCGUGAAAUCCCCGGGCUUAACCUGGGAACUGCGCUUGUGACUGGAAGGCUAGAGUACGGCAGAGGGGGGUGGAAUUCCACGUGUAGCAGUGAAAUGCGUAGAGAUGUGGAGGAACACCGAUGGCGAAGGCAGCCCCCUGGGCCGAUACUGACGCUCAUGCACGAAAGCGUGGGGAGCAAACAGGAUUAGAUACCCCGGUAGUCC
RNAcentral lists this ribosomal RNA (292 nucleotides) under uncultured bacterium. RNAcentral's name for it is "partial 16S ribosomal RNA". It matches the Rfam family "Bacterial small subunit ribosomal RNA", at positions 505 to 796 of the family's 1533-position model. The record is from RNAcentral.